RNAcentral lists this ribosomal RNA (425 nucleotides) under Micrococcus luteus. RNAcentral describes it as "bacterial SSU rRNA". It matches the Rfam family "Bacterial small subunit ribosomal RNA", at positions 28 to 453 of the family's 1533-position model. Lineage: Bacteria; Bacillati; Actinomycetota; Actinomycetes; Micrococcales; Micrococcaceae. The record is from RNAcentral.
GAUGAACGCUGGCGGCGUGCUUAACACAUGCAAGUCGAACGAUGAAGCCCAGCUUGCUGGGUGGAUUAGUGGCGAACGGGUGAGUAACACGUGAGUAACCUGCCCUUGACUCUGGGAUAAGCCUGGGAAACUGGGUCUAAUACCGGAUAGGAACGUCCACCGCAUGGUGGUUGUUGGAAAGAUUUAUCGGUCAUGGAUGGACUCGCGGCCUAUCAGCUUGUUGGUGAGGUAAUGGCUCACCAAGGCGACGACGGGUAGCCGGCCUGAGAGGGUGACCGGCCACACUGGGACUGAGACACGGCCCAGACUCCUACGGGAGGCAGCAGUGGGGAAUAUUGCACAAUGGGCGAAAGCCUGAUGCAGCGACGCCGCGUGAGGGAUGACGGCCUUCGGGUUGUAAACCUCUUUCAGUAGGGAAGAAGCGA